This 254-nucleotide ribosomal RNA is filed under the name uncultured bacterium. Its description in RNAcentral is "partial 16S ribosomal RNA". It matches the Rfam family "Bacterial small subunit ribosomal RNA", at positions 524 to 776 of the family's 1533-position model. The record is from RNAcentral.
UACAGAGGUCUCAAGCGUUGUUCGGAUUUACUGGGCGUAAAGGGCGCGUAGGCGGUCGUGACAAGUCACUUGUGAAAUCUCCGGGCUUAACUCGGAACGGUCAAGUGAUACUGUCGGACUAGAGUACAGAAGGGGCAACUGGAAUUCUCGGUGUAGCGGUGAAAUGCGUAGAUAUCGAGAGGAACACCUGCGGCGAAGGCGGGUUGCUGGGCUGAUACUGACGCUGAGGCGCGAAAGCGUGGGGAGCAAACAGG